GACAGAGGGUGCAAACGUUGCUCGGAAUUACUGGGCGUAAAGGGCGCGUAGGCGGCCUUCUAAGUCGAACGUGAAAUCCCUGGGCUCAACCCAGGAACUGCGUCCGAUACUGAAAGGCUUGAAUCCGGGAGAGGGAUGCGGAAUUCCAGGUGUAGCGGUGAAAUGCGUAGAUAUCUGGAGGAACACCGGUGGCGAAGGCGGCGUUCUGGACUGCAACCGACACUGAUGAACGAAAGCCAGGGGAGCAAACGGG
RNAcentral lists this ribosomal RNA (253 nucleotides) under uncultured bacterium. RNAcentral describes it as "partial 16S ribosomal RNA". It matches the Rfam family "Bacterial small subunit ribosomal RNA", at positions 524 to 776 of the family's 1533-position model. The record is from RNAcentral.